CACGUAGGGCGCAAGCGUUGUCCGGAAUUAUUGGGCGUAAAGAGCUCGUAGGCGGUCUGUUGCGUCCGCUGUGAAAACUCGGGGCUUAACCCCGAGCCUGCAGUGGAUACGGGCAGACUAGAGGUAGGUAGGGGAGAAUGGAAUUCCCGGUGUAGCGGUGAAAUGCGCAGAUAUCGGGAGGAACACCGGUGGCGAAGGCGGCUCACUGGACCGGAACUGACGCUGAGGCGCGAAAGCGUGGGGAGCAAACAGG
Molecule: ribosomal RNA, 253 nt
Filed under: uncultured bacterium
Lineage: Bacteria
Description: partial 16S ribosomal RNA
Rfam family: Bacterial small subunit ribosomal RNA
Source: RNAcentral